AACGAACGCUGGCGGCAGGCCUAACACAUGCAAGUCGAGCGAGGAGUUCGGUCCUAGCGGCGGAUGGGGGUGUAGCGCGUGGGGAGGGGCACUUGGGGUUGGAAUAGCUCUGGGAAACUGGGAGGAAUACCGGAUGGGCGCUUUGGGGGGAAGAUUUAUUGGCGAAGGUUGGGCCCGCGUGGGAGUCGGUAGUUGGGGGGGUAAUGGCCUACCAAGCGGUCGAUCCGUAGCUUGUUUGAGAGGAUGAUCAGCCACACUGGGAGUGAGACACGGCCCAGACUCCUACGGGAGGCAGCAGUGGGGAAUCUUGGACAAUGGGGGAAACCCUGAUCUAGCCAGGACGCGUGAGCGAUGAAGGCCUUAGGGUUGUAAAGCUCUUUCAGCUGGGAAGAUAAUGACGGUACCAGCAGAAGAAGCCCCGGCUAACUCCGUG
RNAcentral lists this ribosomal RNA (433 nucleotides) under uncultured bacterium. Its description in RNAcentral is "partial 16S ribosomal RNA". It matches the Rfam family "Bacterial small subunit ribosomal RNA", at positions 28 to 507 of the family's 1533-position model. The record is from RNAcentral.